RNAcentral lists this transfer RNA (74 nucleotides) under Escherichia coli. RNAcentral's name for it is "tRNA-Gly". It matches the Rfam family "tRNA". Rfam says of the family: Transfer RNA (tRNA) molecules are approximately 80 nucleotides in length. Their secondary structure includes four short double-helical elements and three loops (D, anti-codon, and T loops). The record is from RNAcentral. Lineage: Bacteria; Pseudomonadati; Pseudomonadota; Gammaproteobacteria; Enterobacterales; Enterobacteriaceae. RNAcentral also lists the same sequence under 80 other names.
GCGGGUGUAGCUCAAUGGUAGAGUUCCGGCCUUCCAAGCCGGCUGUGAGGGUUCGAUCCCCUUCACCCGCUCCA